This 63-nucleotide transfer RNA is filed under the name Serrognathus platymelus. RNAcentral's name for it is "tRNA-Thr". The record is from RNAcentral. Lineage: Eukaryota; Metazoa; Arthropoda; Insecta; Coleoptera; Lucanidae.
GUUUUAAUAAUUUAAAUAAAAUAUUGGUCUUGUAAACCGAAAAUAAGUUAUUCUUUUAAAACU